Molecule: long non-coding RNA, 2433 nt
Filed under: Pelobates cultripes (western spadefoot toad)
Lineage: Eukaryota; Metazoa; Chordata; Amphibia; Anura; Pelobatidae
Source: RNAcentral
AUACCAUCUAAGCCUAUUGGAUUGAGCAAACCUCAUUUUGCUCUAUCACACGUGAGUAGGUUCUUACUACUUUUAGUAUGUAUUACACUCUAUUUUUAUGGUACACACUAUUGUAGUCUUUUCUUUUAUAUAUUUCCACGGACAAAAAUGCAAAUCACCUAUAUCCCAGAUUGUGGAUCAUACUACUUCCCGCAAUAUUUCUGGAGCCAAUACCUAGGCUCCAUCAUAUGUGAGUGUACACCUGUCUAUAUACCUACCCUUAUUAGCUCAACAUACCACCUUAUAUACUUUUAUUUAUCUUUUAUAUUUCUAUGAAGUAUACCUUUUGCCACAAGGACAACCUGAAGAGCCUGCACUACACUAUAGCCAGAGGUGGGGGUCAUUCCGGCCAGGCAUUCAAGUUGGAGCUGUAUUUGAGCUCCCUGGAAGUGUAAGUGCACAAUUUUACUUACCCAUAAUCCAUUUAAGAAAUUUUUAACCUGCUACACUAUCAGUUCUUUCUGUUACUCCUUUUGUCGCUACAUACAUUUCUUAAAGGACAUUUCAGGUGCUACACCUUCUUUUUCUGUUUUAUCUUACCCCUUAUCAGACAAGGUAGACUCCGCAUUUGGUGAUUAAGCUGCCUUUGAACUAUAUUAGUAUUGUGCUAGCACUAAAUUUUUUUCUGUUUUCAUAAAAUAUAAUGGCUUAUAUUUGACCAAUAAUCUGGAUCUCGAUUAAAUGACCGACUGAGGGUAAAAGGGGAAAAAUAAGGACUGCAGUAAAGUUAGGUAAACUAUAGGUGAUUAGUGAUGUCCCGAACGGUUCGCUGGCGAAUAGUUCCCGCCGAACAUAGCGUGUUCGCGUUCGCCACGGACGGCGAACAUAUGCGAUGUUCGGUCCGCCCCCUAUUAAUUUACUAAUACUAAGUAAAAAUUACUUAGUAUUAGUAAAUUGUGCCCCUACUCGCAAUACCGCCUGUGGCUGCUCACUGUUAAAAAAAAAAAAAGGUUUUCUCCUCCCCCCGUCCCCCACCCCUGAGCGGUGGGUGGGGGCCCUAAAAUUAACAAUAAGGGGUGACCUAUUGUCCCCACCCCGGCCCCCACCCCUGAGCGGUGGGUGGGGGCCCUAAAAUUAACAAUAUGGGGGGGGACCUAUUGUCCCCACCCGGCCCCCACCCCUGGGCGGUGGGUGGGAGCCCUAAAUACAAAGGGGGGGGACCCUAGUCACCCCUCCCCCCCCAAAAAAAAUUAGCUCCCUACCUACCCCCAUCACCCUAAAAAUAAUGAGGGUGGGACCCUUAACUAAAAACCUGUAAAAAAAAAUUUUAGAUAAAAAUAACUUACCAUUUGAUGUUUUCUUUCUUCUACAAUCUUCUUUUUUCAGCCCCAAAAAAGGCAAAAUAAAAAGCCAUAAGAACCGACGCAAUUAAAAAAUUUUUAAAAAAAACGAGCGCACAAAAAAAUAAUCCAUCUUCACCCAUGGAGGGCUCCGCGCAGACUGAGCUCUGCAGGGUGGGGGAAGGCUUAUAAAGCCUUGCCACGCCCUGCAAUUAGGCUAAGAACACUCUGAUUGGCUGGUUUAAGCCAAUCAGAGUGCUCUUUGUCAUUUUACACAGCGUGGAAAAAUUCAAAAGAACUUUCCCAUGCUGUGUAAAAUGACACAGAGCACUGUGAUUGGAUGGCUUGAAAUCCAUCCAAUCACAGUGCUCUGUGUCAUUUUACACAGCGUGGGAAAAUUGAACUUUCAACAUGUAUGGUGAACAAAUAUUAUUUAUUUUUUUUAAAUGGUAUAAUCAGAUGGAAACAUAAAAACACAUCAGAAAUGUGACUGAGCUCAAGCUCAGUCCAUCUUUCUUGAGGGACCAGUACUCUGUUCCCACCUCAGCCAUUAUCCACUGUAGUGUGAGUGGUGAAGGGAACAACCUGAUACACGUCCCAGGAGCGACUGGGCCUGGCAUUGGCAUCUGUAGCCAGGAAAAUCACUGAGCAUAAAACCAAGAGCUAACCAAAAAUGUGUCUCACUAAUACCCAGUAAAACAUAUAAAACAAAAACUAUAUAUAUAUACACACAUGAAUAUAUAUAAAAGGAAAGCUCUUGCAAAUAUUAUAUACAAUCAUAAUUAAUAAAUGAAAUAUAUUGUAAAGCAAUCUAGGAGAAAAUAAACACACAAAUAGUGUAAUACAGCUAGGAGCAAUACAAGGGGAAAGGGGGAUGUAGAGUAAAUAAAGAAUUCAUUUUUCUAUUUCUCUCCUUUCUUAAUUUGUGAAAAACAUUUUGUGAUGCCAUAGAUCGACAGAGAUCCUGCAGGAACAGAAAUUGUAUCACCUCAAACUUUAAGGACGUUCUGCCCUGUAAAGCCUCUAGAACCACCAUUCGGUCCGAUUGCAGGGUAAAAUGAAUCAGGAAAUUGCAAGGAGCCUUAGUCGGUGCCCUAGCUGAAUCAGGUAAUCA